This 1083-nucleotide ribosomal RNA is filed under the name Loratospora aestuarii. RNAcentral's name for it is "SSU rRNA". It matches the Rfam family "Eukaryotic small subunit ribosomal RNA", at positions 84 to 1177 of the family's 1831-position model. Lineage: Eukaryota; Fungi; Ascomycota; Dothideomycetes; Pleosporales; Phaeosphaeriaceae. The record is from RNAcentral.
AAACUGCGAAUGGCUCAUUAAAUCAGUUAUCGUUUAUUUGAUAGUACCUUACUACUUGGAUAACCGUGGUAAUUCUAGAGCUAAUACAUGCUGAAAACCCCAACUUCGGGAGGGGUGUAUUUAUUAGAUAAAAAACCAACGCCCUUCGGGGCUUCUUGGUGAUUCAUGAUAACUUAACGGAUCGCAUGGCCUUGCGCCGGCGACGGUUCAUUCAAAUUUCUGCCCUAUCAACUUUCGAUGGUAAGGUAUUGGCUUACCAUGGUUUCAACGGGUAACGGGGAAUUAGGGUUCGAUUCCGGAGAGGGAGCCUGAGAAACGGCUACCACAUCCAAGGAAGGCAGCAGGCGCGCAAAUUAUCCAAUCCCGACACGGGGAGAUAGUGACAAUAAAUACUGAUACAGGGCUCUUUUGGGUCUUGUAAUUGGAAUGAGUACAAUUUAAACCUCUUAACGAGGAACAAUUGGAGGGCAAGUCUGGUGCCAGCAGCCGCGGUAAUUCCAGCUCCAAUAGCGUAUAUUAAAGUUGUUGCAGUUAAAAAGCUCGUAGUUGAACCUUGGGUCUGGCUGGCAGGUCCGCCUCACCGCGUGUACUUGUCCGGCCGGGCCUUCCUUCUGGAGAACCUCAUGCCCUUCACUGGGCGUGUUGGGGACCAGGACUUUUACUUUGAAAAAAUUAGAGUGUUCAAAGCAGGCCUUUGCUCGAAUACGUUAGCAUGGAAUAAUAGAAUAGGACGUGCGGUCCUAUUUUGUUGGUUUCUAGGACCGCCGUAAUGAUUAAUAGGGACAGUCGGGGGCAUCAGUAUUCAAUUGUCAGAGGUGAAAUUCUUGGAUUUAUUGAAGACUAACUACUGCGAAAGCAUUUGCCAAGGAUGUUUUCAUUAAUCAGUGAACGAAAGUUAGGGGAUCGAAGACGAUCAGAUACCGUCGUAGUCUUAACCGUAAACUAUGCCGACUAGGGAUCGGGCGAUGUUCUUUUUCUGACUCGCUCGGCACCUUACGAGAAAUCAAAGUUUUUGGGUUCUGGGGGGAGUAUGGUCGCAAGGCUGAAACUUAAAGAAAUUGACGGAAGGGCACCACCAGGCGU